This 468-nucleotide ribosomal RNA is filed under the name uncultured bacterium. RNAcentral describes it as "partial 16S ribosomal RNA". It matches the Rfam family "Bacterial small subunit ribosomal RNA", at positions 28 to 507 of the family's 1533-position model. The record is from RNAcentral.
GACGAACGCUGGCGGCGUGCUUAACACAUGCCAGUCGAACGGAAAGGCCCUGCUUUUGUGGGGUGCUCGAGUGGCGAACGGGUGAGUAACACGUGAGUAACCUGCCCUUGACUUUGGGAUAACUUCAGGAAACUGGGGCUAAUACCGGAUAUGAGCUCCUGCUGCAUGGUGGGGGUUGGAAAGUUUCGGCGGUUGGGGAUGGACUCGCGGCUUAUCCGCUUGUUGGUGGGGUAGUGGCUUACCAAGGCUUUGACGGGUAGCCGGCCUGAGAGGGUGACCGGCGACAUUGGGACUGAGAGACGGCCCAGAAUCCUACGGGAGGCAGCAGGGGGGAAUAUUGCACAAUGGGCGGAAGCCUGAUGCAGCAACGCCGGGUGCGGGAUGACGGCCUUCGGGUUGUAAACCGCUUUCGCCUGUGACGAAGAGUGAGUGACGGUAAUGGGUAAAGAAGCACCGGCUAACUACGUG